AGAUAAUAGAUACCCAGGUAGUCCACGCCGUAAACGAUGAAUGUUAGCCGUCGGGCAGUUUACUGUUCGGUGGCGCAGCUAAACGCAUUAAACAUUCCGCCUGGGGAGUACGGUCGCAAGAUUAAAACUCAAAGGAAUUGACGGGGGCCCGCACAAGCGGUGGAGCAUGUGGUUUAAAUUCGAAGCAACGCGCAGAACCUUACCAGCCCUUGACAUCCCGAUCGCGGAUUACGGAGACGUUUUCCUUCAGUUCGGCUGGAUCGGAGACAGGUGCUGCAUGGCUGUCGUCAGCCCGUGUCGUGAGAUGUUGGGUUAAGUCCCGCAACGAGCGCAACCCUCGCCCUUAGUUGCCAGCAUUUAGUUGGGCACUCUAAGGGGACUGCCGGUGACAAGCCGAGAGGAAGGUGGGGAUGACGUCAAGUCCUCAUGGCCCUUACGGGCUGGGCUACACACGUGCUACAAUGGUGGUGACAGUGGGCAGCGAGACCGCGAGGUCGAGCUAAUCUCCAAAAGCCAUCUCAGUUCGGAUUGCAC
This 534-nucleotide ribosomal RNA is filed under the name uncultured bacterium. Its description in RNAcentral is "bacterial SSU rRNA". It matches the Rfam family "Bacterial small subunit ribosomal RNA", at positions 775 to 1303 of the family's 1533-position model. The record is from RNAcentral.